Molecule: ribosomal RNA, 492 nt
Filed under: uncultured bacterium
Lineage: Bacteria
Description: partial 16S ribosomal RNA
Rfam family: Bacterial small subunit ribosomal RNA
Source: RNAcentral
AGUGAACGCUGGCGGUAGGCCUAACACAUGCAAGUCGAACGGCCGCACAGUAAGAGCUUGCUCUUACGGGUGGCGAGUGGCGGACGGGUGAGAAAUACAUCGGAAUCUACUUUUUCGUGGGGGAUAACGUAGGGAAACUUACGCUAAUACCGCAUACGACCUACGGGUGAAAGCAGGGGAUCUUCGGACCUUGCGCGAUUGAAUGAGCCGAUGUCGGAUUAGCUAGUUUGCGGGGUAAAGGCCCACCAAGGCGACGAUCCGUAGCUGGUCUGAGAGGAUGAUAAGCCACACUGGAACUGAGCAACGGUCCAGACUCCUACGGGAGGCAGCAGUGGGGAAUAUUGGAGAAUGGGCGCAAGCCUGAUCCAGCCAUACCGCGUGGGUGAAGAAGGCCUUCGGGUUGGAAAGCCCUUUUAUUGGGAAAGAAAAGCAGCAGGUUAAUACCCCGCUGUUCUGACGGUACCCAAAGAAUAAGCACCGGCUAACUACGUG